UUCCGGUUGAUCCUGCCGGACCCGACUGCUAUCAGAGUGGGACUAAGCCAUGCGAGUCAACACAGCAAUGUGUGGCAUACGGCUCAGUAACACGUAGUCAACAUGCCCAGGGGACGUGGAUAACCUCGGGAAACUGAGGAUAAACCGCGAUAGGUCACUGCUUCUGGAAUGGGCAAUGACCCAAACCUACAUGGCCCCUGGAUUGGACUGCGGCCGAUCAGGCUGUUGGUGAGGUAAUGGCCCACCAAACCUGUAACCGGUACGGGCUCUGAGAGGAGGAGCCCGGAGAUGGGCACUGAGACAAGGGCCCAAGCCCUAUGGGGCGCAGCAGGCGCGAAACCUCUG
Molecule: ribosomal RNA, 345 nt
Filed under: uncultured crenarchaeote
Lineage: Archaea; Thermoproteati; Thermoproteota
Description: bacterial SSU rRNA
Rfam family: Archaeal small subunit ribosomal RNA
Source: RNAcentral